This 253-nucleotide ribosomal RNA is filed under the name uncultured bacterium. RNAcentral describes it as "partial 16S ribosomal RNA". It matches the Rfam family "Bacterial small subunit ribosomal RNA", at positions 524 to 776 of the family's 1533-position model. The record is from RNAcentral.
UACGUAGGGUGCGAGCGUUGUCCGGAAUUAUUGGGCGUAAAGAGCUUGUAGGCGGUUUGUCACGUCGGCUGUGAAAUCCCGAGGCUCAACCUCGGGUCUGCAGUCGAUACGGGCAAACUAGAGUAUUGCAGGGGAGACUGGAAUUCCUGGUGUAGCGGUGAAAUGCGCAGAUAUCAGGAGGAACACCGGUGGCGAAGGCGGGUCUCUGGGCAAUAACUGACGCUGAGGAGCGAAAGCGUGGGGAGCGAACAGG